GAUGAACGCUGGCGGCGUGCCUAAUACAUGCAAGUCGAGCGAACAGACGAGGAGCUUGCUCCUCUGACGUGAGCGGCGGACGGGUGAGUAACACGUGGAUAACCUACCUAUAAGACUGGGAUAACUUCGGGAAACCGGAGCUAAUACCGGAUAAUAUAUUGAACCGUAUGGUUCAAUAGUGAAAGACGGUUUUGCUGUCACUUAUAGAUGGAUCCGCGCCGCAUUAGCUAGUUGGUAAGGUAGCGGCUUACCAAGGCAACGAUGCGUAGCCGACCUGAGAGGGUGAUCGGCCACACUGGAACUGAGACACGGUCCAGACUCCUACGGGAGGCAGCAGUAGGGAAUCUUCCGCAAUGGGCGAAAGCUUGACGGAGCAACGCCGCGUGAGUGAUGAAGGUCUUCGGAUCGUAAAACUCUGUUAUUAGGGAAGAACAAAUGUGUAAGUAACUAUGCACGUCUUGACGGUACCUAAUCAGAAAGCCACGGCUAACUACGUG
Molecule: ribosomal RNA, 497 nt
Filed under: uncultured bacterium
Lineage: Bacteria
Description: partial 16S ribosomal RNA
Rfam family: Bacterial small subunit ribosomal RNA
Source: RNAcentral